Molecule: ribosomal RNA, 332 nt
Filed under: uncultured bacterium
Lineage: Bacteria
Description: bacterial SSU rRNA
Rfam family: Bacterial small subunit ribosomal RNA
Source: RNAcentral
GUUUCGGCCGCCGGGGGAGUGGCGCACGGGUGAGUAGCGCGUGGGAACCUGCCCUGUUGUGGGGGAUAACCGAGGGAAACUUCGGCUAAUACCGCAUGCGCCCGGGCAACCGGGGAAAGAUUUAUCGCAGCAGGAGGGGCCCGCGUCGGAUUAGGUAGUUGGUGGGGUAACGGCCUACCAAGCCGGUGAUCCGUAGCUGGUCUGAGAGGAUGAUCAGCCACACUGGGACUGAGACACGGCCCAGACUCCUACGGGAGGCAGCAGUGGGGAAUAUUGGACAAUGGGCGCAAGCCUGAUCCAGCAAUGCCGCGUGAGUGAUGAAGGCCUUCGGG